Long non-coding RNA from Gadus macrocephalus (Pacific cod), 1148 nucleotides. RefSeq lists it as uncharacterized. The transcript has 4 exons. The record is from RefSeq and is a predicted model, not a curated record. NCBI's taxonomy places the organism in Eukaryota, Metazoa, Chordata, Actinopteri, Gadiformes, Gadidae.
UAGAUAGAUAGAUAGAUAGAUAGAUAGAUAGAUAGAUAGAUAGAUAGAUAGAUAGAUAGAUAGAUAGAUAGAUUUUAGGUGCAUAGGUUUUUGUUGUUCAUUGAAAAUGGUGUCAUUUAAUUCUAUUUUGUUGUAUCUGUCGUCUCAGAUGUAUGAAGCAGGUUAUUCUCUCAUGGAGAAACGGCAGAUCCGGAGGGAUGCAAAAAAAUUCACUCUUAAAGGUAUUCUGUAAUUAAAUAAAUAACAUUUUAUGCAGUCCAUCUUAAUUCAUCUUCCAUUUUACCAAAUUAGUAGGCCCUGCAAAGGAAACUGAAUCGAGUUAUAAGCAAUCUACAGCUGAUGCAGUGCUGAUACAUGUUCUCUCCCUCUUUAGGGAAUUGUAUGUACUACCUUGGGGAGAAUGGCGAUUCAAUGAGGAGGGUGAUCCUCACUGAGAAAGAGAAGGUUGAGGUGCUGACAGAAGUCCAUGCUGGCCACUUUGGAGUCAAGAAGAUGCUGGACAAGAUCAACCAACGCUUCUACUGGAAGGCAAUUACCAAAGAUGUUCAUGAAUGGGCAAGUGACCAAUUUGUUGAAGUUUUGUUUGAUCCAGAUGAGCUCUAAUAUUUCCUGUGAUACGCUGAGGCUCAUGAGAUUUAAAGAAUAAUUUAUAGUGAUUGCCUUUUAUUAGUAAUUGUUCAUUCAAACUGCUGUGACACGCAAAGAAAAUCGCCUCUUCUCUAGAGCAUAUUAUUAAAUCUGUUGUGUUUAGUUUCCUUGUGUUGUAAAGGUGAAAACCUGUAUGUCAUGCCAGAGGUUUGAGCGAGUGAAAACAGAGGCACCAGAGUUGAAGCCCAUCAAACCAAAGUCACCAUUGCAUAUGAUUGGUGUUGACCUAAUUGGACCAUUCAAAGCCUCAAAGAAUGGGAACCGCUUCUGUCUGACAGCAACUGACUUCUUCACCAAGUGGGUGGAGGCCAUGGCCCAUCAAGGACAAGACUGCAACUGCCACAUCACAGGCUAUGAUGGACAUUUUCUACACCCAUGGUUCUCCUGAGGUCAUCUUGACAGACCAGGGUCGUGAAUUCUGGAACAAGGUAAACAAGUCCCUUUUUGAGGAGUUUGGUGUCAAGCACCGAAUCACAUCAGCGGACCAUCCUCAGGUAUAG